AUUGAACGCUGGCGGCAUGCCUUACACAUGCAAGUCGAACGGCAGCACGGGUGCUUGCACCUGGUGGCGAGUGGCGAACGGGUGAGUAAUACAUCGGAACAUGUCCUGUAGUGGGGGAUAGCCCGGCGAAAGCCGGAUUAAUACCGCAUACGAUCUACGGAUGAAAGCGGGGGACCUUCGGGCCUCGCGCUAUAGGGUUGGCCGAUGGCUGAUUAGCUAGUUGGUGGGGUAAAGGCCUACCAAGGCGACGAUCAGUAGCUGGUCUGAGAGGACGACCAGCCACACUGGGACUGAGACACGGCCCAGACUCCUACGGGAGGCAGCAGUGGGAAUUUUGGACAAUGGGCGAAAGCCUGAUCCAGCAAUGCCGCGUGUGUGAAGAAGGCCUUCGGGUUGUAAAGCACUUUUGUCCGGAAAGAAAUCCUUGGCUCUAAUACAGUCGGGGGAUGACGGUACCGGAAGAAUAAGCACCGGCUAACUACGUG
Molecule: ribosomal RNA, 485 nt
Filed under: uncultured bacterium
Lineage: Bacteria
Description: partial 16S ribosomal RNA
Rfam family: Bacterial small subunit ribosomal RNA
Source: RNAcentral